AAGGAUUUAAGUUAACUAAACUAUUAACCUUCAAAGUUAAAAAUAUAUUUUUUA
This 54-nucleotide transfer RNA is filed under the name Bambusiphaga luodianensis. Its description in RNAcentral is "tRNA-Trp". The record is from RNAcentral. Lineage: Eukaryota; Metazoa; Arthropoda; Insecta; Hemiptera; Delphacidae.